CAUCUGUGCUUCGAUACCGUAGCAAUUUUCGACGAAAAUUAAUCAAUCUGUACACGAUGAUUAAUAUAAAAAAAUAACGCGAGGUGUAAAUUCUCUUUGCUCGUACCGGGUGUAAACUCGAAGUUUGCAAAUUGAGUGGUCGCGAGGGACGAUAGGAUUAUAGUAGCUCGUGUUGCACACAGUCGUCUCUAAUAAAAUUGUCCCUGCAGGCUGGUUCCCGCUGUCACGUGAAAGCGUCCUGAUUGUAUGCGCGAAAUAGCGCUAAGUAAUCCUAGUGUAAUUUCGUUGGCGUUGCGAUCUGUUCGUUGUGACCAUCUGGCAUGAUCGCGCGAUAGAAUGGGACACAGUUGUGCACAACGAAAAGGAGGGAGAGCCAGCCCUCACUGCGUCGGGAUAACUUCCGCAAUUUAGCGCGGGACGACGGUUUCAAAGUUCUUUUAGGGGAUGAAAGCCCAUGAUGUGCCUUCAAAAAAAAAAAAA
Pogonomyrmex barbatus (red harvester ant) is the source of this 480-nucleotide long non-coding RNA. The record is from RefSeq and is a predicted model, not a curated record. NCBI's taxonomy places the organism in Eukaryota, Metazoa, Arthropoda, Insecta, Hymenoptera, Formicidae.